Molecule: small RNA, 2378 nt
Filed under: Pongo abelii (Sumatran orangutan)
Lineage: Eukaryota; Metazoa; Chordata; Mammalia; Primates; Hominidae
Description: sense intronic
Source: RNAcentral
UCUCGAUCUCCUGACCUCGUGAUCCACCCGCCUUGGCCUCCCAAAGUGCUGGGAUUACAGGCAUGAGCCACCGCGCCCGGCCUAAUUUUUGUGUUUUUAGUAGUUUCACAUGAGAAGGACUGUUUCCUCUGCUUUCAGUACUAAGCACUGGGAAGUCUACACAUGGCAAGGUGUGUAAAUUCAUGUUAGUGUUACCUAAAGCACAUAUAUUUGAAAGGUAACUACAUAUUGUUUCAUGAUAUAAUAUACAUUUGCUUCCAUUAAGGUAACAUUAUUAGUCGCCUUAUUUAUGUGCUAAACCUAUAGGGCAAGAAAAAUAUACAAAUUAAGAGCUUUUACUUUUUUCUAUUAAUAAUAAUUUCUGCUAGUUAUUACAGAGUAGUAAGCAUACCACAGUUAUAAUUGACUUUGUUCUCUUAAAUGCUUACAGUCUGACCAUCUGUUGAAAUCUCACAGAUUUUUGGUUUUGUGAUCAUCUCAGAAUUACUUCCCAAAUUAUUGAAUUGAGCAGUAAGCAUCAAAAACACUGAAUAAGAGUUAUUUAAAACUUUACAAAAAUAUUUAGGGGCCUUAAUGUGGAUAAUUUAGAAUUUACUAGGAGACAUCAAAAAUUCAACUGGAAUACAACAACUUUCUUUAAAAUUCUAUUCAUUUUUUCAAAUAAUUGAUCUAUUUCUACUGUAACAACUGCAGCCAGUACUAGGGAUGACAUUUAGCUAAUCUGCCCCAUGAGGGCGCUCAUAAACCUGUUUAUUUUCAGGGAGGCCAACUUUUUUUUUUUUUUCUGAGAUGGAGUCUUGCUCUGUCGCCCAGACUGGAGUGCAGUGGUGCAAUCUCAGCUCACUGCAACCUCCACCUCCCGGGUUCAAGCGAUUUUCCUGCCUCAACCUCCUGAGUAGCUGGGAUUACAGGUGCACGCCACUGCGCCUGGCUAAUUUUUGUAUUUUUAGUAGAGACAGGGUAUCACUAUGUUGACCAGGCUGGUCUUGAACUCUUGACCUCAGGUGAUCCGCCCGCCUCAGCCUCCCAAAGUGCUGGGAUUACAGGCGUGAGCCACUGUGCCUGGCCACGGAGGACACUUUUGAUGUAAGGGAAAGGAGGUAGCUUAUAUAUUAUGAGGGUCUUUUUUUAAUUCUCCUUCUGUUCCUCCCAUUUUCCCUUCCCCUAACCUCCUUCUUCUUCCCAAACAUUUAAAAUAAUUCUCUGGCAGUUAUCCUCCAGAUUUAAGAUAGAUAGCAAUCUAUGAGUCCUAAUAAUCUCAUAGUAUUAGAUUUUUUUUUGGUGUUUCCUUCCCUUCUUUACAAAAAAAGAUACUGAGGCCAAGUUAAACUUUACACUGAAAGUCACUGAUAAAGCUGGAGAGAGAACCCAGAAUUCCAGCAGAGGAGGUUUUCUUGUUUGUUUGUUUUCGUUUUGUUUUGUUUUUUAUUUUUUUAGACAGAGUCUCGCUCUGUCACCCAGGCUAGAGUUCAGUGGCACAAUCUCGGCUCACUGCAACCUCUGCUUCCCGAAUUCAAGCGAUUCUCCUGCCUCAGCCUCCCGUGCAGUUUGGAUUACAGGCAUGUGCCACCAUGCCCGGUUAAUUUUUAUAUUUUUAGUAGAGACGGGGUUUCACCAUGUUGUCGAGGCUGGUCUCGAACUCCCAACCUCAGGUGAUCCACCCUCCUGGGCCUCUCAAAAUGCUGAGAUUACAGGCGUGAGCCACUGCGCCCAGCCCCAGCAGAGGAGUUUUCUAUACUGAGGAGAGGAUUCUUGGAGAGCUUUAGUCAUUACCCAGGACCCCACAACUAGGAAAUGGAAGAGCCAGGUUCAAACACAGGCUGUGUGACCCCAACAUGAAUUGUUUAAAAGCUGAAUUAUACUUUAGUAGAAAUAAUACAGUCAGCUGUCACCUGGCAUGUCUUCAACUAGAAUUCUCUGUGAAUUGUUGUGUUACUGGACUGCCAAGACAAAUCUUGUUUAUGAUACAAAUCUUCAAGAACCAUUUUAACCAUCCGAAGAUUAAACAGUGUUCAUUGUGGUUUAUUAGGUGUACUUUAUGAUGUUGAGAAAAAUGUUUGUUCAUAAAUCACCAAUGGAGUGACUUUUUAAUCCUUUUUUGAAGGCAUAAUUAAUGUUUGGUGACUUUUUUAAUGUGAAUAUUUGAAUACCACAUUUCCUUACUGUGCUGGGUAGUUGAGAGUUUAUGAUACUUAAUAAAUUGAUGCCUUUCUACACUUGUGAACUUGUCCAAAGAACACUAGGAGUUGCCAGAAAGAUAAGUCCUAUGCAAAUGCUUUCUAAACAAUGAAAUUCAUGGAAUUAAGGCAUGAGAUGUUAUGCUGUCUCCUGAAAAAGUAUUUUUUCUCCUGGCAAGAAUAAAAGUCAAGUUAACAUGG